Cercocebus atys (sooty mangabey) is the source of this 716-nucleotide long non-coding RNA. RefSeq lists it as uncharacterized. NCBI's taxonomy places the organism in Eukaryota, Metazoa, Chordata, Mammalia, Primates, Cercopithecidae. The transcript has 3 exons. The record is from RefSeq and is a predicted model, not a curated record.
GAACAUUGAGAGAAGCCACUCUGAAGAUGAACCUCAAAUUUAUUUCCAUGCCAUGGAAACCAACAUUUCCAGAAAUCAUAAUGCAAGUGUCAAGAAGCCAGGAACCAUGUCUAUUUUCUUCUCUACGAGUUCUAUUCAGUACCUAAUUCAAUGACUAAUGCAGAGCAGGAAUUUGACAGAUGCCUGUUGAAUGGAUGACAAUAGGGGAUUUUGGACAGUUGGAUUAAUUUUUCCAUUUAAGAUGAGCAUACUGAGGCACAGAGACAUUAAGUAACUAUGCUGAUUAGUAGUGACAGUGAUGUUGCCACCAAACUGGAAAGCCAGGAUUUGGACUCAGGCACGUGACACCACAGUUGUGUUCUUGAGUGCUCCACUGCACCAUCACUACAGGAAGUGGACUAGAUUCUCAUGGGCCUUCAGGAUGAUGAAGAAUUCUCGACGAUUUACAGUGGAAAAUCAGGAUUGCUGUGGUUUUCGCCUGCUCCUCCCUGUUCUUCCUUCUUUGUCGUUUAGACAAAUUCUAAACGACAGACCUUCAGCUCUCACAUGCUAGAACCUUGACGAAGAUUUAUAGCCUAUUCUCUGUAGAGUGCCCCUUUUCCUUCCUUUCUUAACUGGACUAUGAAUGGCUCUUAUCUACUUUUGUUCUUUUAUUUUUUUCACAUUUUACUCCAAUUUCCUAGAAUAAUUUCAUAAAUAAUUGGAAGCUGGUUUGG